UACGGAGGGUGCAAACGUUGCUCGGAAUUAUUGGGCGUAAAGCGCAUGUAGGCGGCCGAAUAAGUCGGGUGUGAAAGCCCAGGGCUUAACCCUGGAAGUGCACUCGAAACUGCUCGGCUUGAAUAUGGAAGAGGGUCGCGGAAUUCCCGGUGUAGAGGUGAAAUUCGUAGAUAUCGGGAGGAACACCGGUGGCGAAGGCAGGUCUCUGGGCCGAUACUGACGCUGAGGAGCGAAAGCGUGGGGAGCGAACAGG
This 253-nucleotide ribosomal RNA is filed under the name uncultured bacterium. RNAcentral describes it as "partial 16S ribosomal RNA". It matches the Rfam family "Bacterial small subunit ribosomal RNA", at positions 524 to 776 of the family's 1533-position model. The record is from RNAcentral.